UACUAGCCCCGAUGGAAACGGCAUCCUUUUUUGUGGCUGACGGAAUGAAAUAGAGGCAGCCGCAAAAAAGAUAUAGUGGACAGCGGGUUCCCGG
Molecule: small RNA, 94 nt
Filed under: Chryseobacterium sp. Leaf394
Lineage: Bacteria; Pseudomonadati; Bacteroidota; Flavobacteriia; Flavobacteriales; Weeksellaceae
Description: Flavo-1 RNA
Rfam family: Flavo-1 RNA
Source: Rfam by way of RNAcentral